UACGUAGGUGGCAAGCGUUGUCCGGAUUUAUUGGGUUUAAAGGGUGCGUAGGCGGCUUUGUAAGUCAGUGGUGAAAUAUGGCAGCUCAACUGUCAGGGUGCCAUUGAUACUGCAGAGCUUGAGUACAGAUGAGGUAGGUGGAAUUGACGGUGUAGCGGUGAAAUGCUUAGAUAUCGUCAAGAACACCUAUAGCGAAGGCAGCUUACUAGGCUGUAACUGACGCUGAGGCACGAAAGUGUGGGGAUCAAACAGG
RNAcentral lists this ribosomal RNA (253 nucleotides) under uncultured bacterium. RNAcentral describes it as "partial 16S ribosomal RNA". It matches the Rfam family "Bacterial small subunit ribosomal RNA", at positions 524 to 776 of the family's 1533-position model. The record is from RNAcentral.